This 1520-nucleotide ribosomal RNA is filed under the name Acinetobacter baumannii. RNAcentral's name for it is "bacterial SSU rRNA". It matches the Rfam family "Bacterial small subunit ribosomal RNA". Lineage: Bacteria; Pseudomonadati; Pseudomonadota; Gammaproteobacteria; Moraxellales; Moraxellaceae. RNAcentral also lists the same sequence under 7 other names. The record is from RNAcentral.
AGAGUUUGAUCAUGGCUCAGAUUGAACGCUGGCGGCAGGCCUAACACAUGCAAGUCGAGCGGUAGCACAGAGAGCUUGCUCUCGGGUGACGAGCGGCGGACGGGUGAGUAAUGUCUGGGAAACUGCCUGAUGGAGGGGGAUAACUACUGGAAACGGUAGCUAAUACCGCAUAACGUCGCAAGACCAAAGUGGGGGACCUUCGGGCCUCAUGCCAUCAGAUGUGCCCAGAUGGGAUUAGCUAGUAGGUGGGGUAACGGCUCACCUAGGCGACGAUCCCUAGCUGGUCUGAGAGGAUGACCAGCCACACUGGAACUGAGACACGGUCCAGACUCCUACGGGAGGCAGCAGUGGGGAAUAUUGCACAAUGGGCGCAAGCCUGAUGCAGCCAUGCCGCGUGUGUGAAGAAGGCCUUCGGGUUGUAAAGCACUUUCAGCGGGGAGGAAGGCGUUAAGGUUAAUAACCUUGGCGAUUGACGUUACCCGCAGAAGAAGCACCGGCUAACUCCGUGCCAGCAGCCGCGGUAAUACGGAGGGUGCAAGCGUUAAUCGGAAUUACUGGGCGUAAAGCGCACGCAGGCGGUCUGUCAAGUCGGAUGUGAAAUCCCCGGGCUCAACCUGGGAACUGCAUUCGAAACUGGCAGGCUAGAGUCUUGUAGAGGGGGGUAGAAUUCCAGGUGUAGCGGUGAAAUGCGUAGAGAUCUGGAGGAAUACCGGUGGCGAAGGCGGCCCCCUGGACAAAGACUGACGCUCAGGUGCGAAAGCGUGGGGAGCAAACAGGAUUAGAUACCCUGGUAGUCCACGCCGUAAACGAUGUCGAUUUGGAGGUUGUGCCCUUGAGGCGUGGCUUCCGGAGCUAACGCGUUAAAUCGACCGCCUGGGGAGUACGGCCGCAAGGUUAAAACUCAAAUGAAUUGACGGGGGCCCGCACAAGCGGUGGAGCAUGUGGUUUAAUUCGAUGCAACGCGAAGAACCUUACCUGGUCUUGACAUCCACAGAACUUUCCAGAGAUGGAUUGGUGCCUUCGGGAACUGUGAGACAGGUGCUGCAUGGCUGUCGUCAGCUCGUGUUGUGAAAUGUUGGGUUAAGUCCCGCAACGAGCGCAACCCUUAUCCUUUGUUGCCAGCGGUUAGGCCGGGAACUCAAAGGAGACUGCCAGUGAUAAACUGGAGGAAGGUGGGGAUGACGUCAAGUCAUCAUGGCCCUUACGACCAGGGCUACACACGUGCUACAAUGGCAUAUACAAAGAGAAGCGACCUCGCGAGAGCAAGCGGACCUCAUAAAGUAUGUCGUAGUCCGGAUUGGAGUCUGCAACUCGACUCCAUGAAGUCGGAAUCGCUAGUAAUCGUAGAUCAGAAUGCUACGGUGAAUACGUUCCCGGGCCUUGUACACACCGCCCGUCACACCAUGGGAGUGGGUUGCAAAAGAAGUAGGUAGCUUAACCUUCGGGAGGGCGCUUACCACUUUGUGAUUCAUGACUGGGGUGAAGUCGUAACAAGGUAACCGUAGGGGAACCUGCGGUUG